UACAGAGGGUGCAAGCGUUAAUCGGAAUUACUGGGCGUAAAGCGUGCGCAGGCGGUUUGCUAAGACAGGUGUGAAAUCCCCGGGCUUAACCUGGGAACUGCGCUUGUUACUGGCAAGCUAGAGUGUGGCAGAGGGGGGUGGAAUUCCACGUGUAGCAGUGAAAUGCGUAGAGAUGUGGAGGAACACCGAUGGCGAAGGCAGCCCCCUGGGCUAACACUGACGCUCAUGCACGAAAGCGUGGGGAGCAAAC
Molecule: ribosomal RNA, 250 nt
Filed under: uncultured bacterium
Lineage: Bacteria
Description: partial 16S ribosomal RNA
Rfam family: Bacterial small subunit ribosomal RNA
Source: RNAcentral